Molecule: unclassified non-coding RNA, 279 nt
Filed under: plant metagenome
Description: partial contains small subunit ribosomal RNA, internal transcribed spacer 1, and 5.8S ribosomal RNA
Source: RNAcentral
UUUCCGUAGGUGAACCUGCGGAAGGAUCAUUAACGAGUAAGGGUCUUCCAGUUCCGACCUCCCCACCCUAUCUUUUUUAAACCUCUGUUGCUUCGGUGGACCCGCCUCACCGCCACCUGAAUACCGCUAAAUGGCGUUCUCUAACCGGCGUCCGCCGUUGGUCAACCACUUAAACUCUGCAUUAUGCGUUUCAUAUGUUUUAUUCUUUGAUUAAAUUAAAUCAAAACUUUCAACAACCGAUCUCUUGGUUCUGGCAUCGAUGAAGAACGCAAAAUAUCG